UUGGGCACUCUAAUGAGACUGCCGGUGACAAACCGGAGGAAGGUGGGGAUGACGUCAAGUCCUCAUGGCCCUUAUAGGUGGGGCUACACACGUCAUACAAUGGCCGGUACAGAGGGUAGCCAACCCGCGAGGGGGAGCCAAUCCCACAAAGCCGGUCGUAGUCCGGAUCGCAGUCUGCAACUCGACUGCGUGAAGUCGGAAUCGCUAGUAAUCGCGGAUCAGCAUGUCGCGGUGAAUACGUUCCCGGGUCUU
RNAcentral lists this ribosomal RNA (252 nucleotides) under uncultured Verminephrobacter sp. RNAcentral's name for it is "partial 16S ribosomal RNA". It matches the Rfam family "Bacterial small subunit ribosomal RNA", at positions 1131 to 1382 of the family's 1533-position model. The record is from RNAcentral. Lineage: Bacteria; Pseudomonadati; Pseudomonadota; Betaproteobacteria; Burkholderiales; Comamonadaceae.